CGCCGGCCGUGUGCGGUGGCCCAGCUCUCCGCCGCUCUCCGCCUCUCUAGGCUCGGCUCCCAUCGCAGCUAACGGAGCCCCAGGUCCGGGCCGGACAGCCCGUGUGUGCCGCAGAAGCUCCGAGAUGAGUGUGACCGAGAUGAGUGUGAUGCACGGAGGGAGCCAGGAAACGCUGGUAUUUCUGCCUGUCGCUUAUCAUCUGGUUGAGCUGGUGGCAGGAGUCCUGGCCCAUGUGUAUUACCAGAGGGCGAGUGAACGUUUCCUCCUCCUCCAUUCUCUGUCCAUGCCCCGAUGAGGCAAUGUGGGGGGACCCCCGAUGAAGCAAUGCAGGGGGAUAACAAUGUGGGGGAUGCAUUGUGAUGAGGGAAGCCGAGGUAGGCACAGGGGUGGCCCCGUUUCCCGCCCUGGCAAUCGUCCACACAUGCGGAUCCCAGCUGCUGGUCCCAGCUCCGGCAAUUCCCAGAUUCCACUGAUACUGCUGUCUUUCACAUGGGAGUUGGGGAGGGGGGUUCCCAUGGGAAGUUACGUCAUCCCUCUUCCCUUUCAAGAAUGGUCUAGAGGAUGAAUCUAUCUGUCAGAGACAUCCAAGAAGAAAGGCCUGGGCCAGGAUCCCACGGAAGACUGUGAAGUCAGGAUCAGGUCUUGCCUGCCUGGAUUGGACAGGGACGCAGUGACCAGUCCCAUCAGCUCCCACCCUGCUGCCCUCUGAAUCGAGAGUUUGAGGUCAUGACCAGGGUAACAUUCAGCUGGUAGAGACAGCACAACCUUGCUGGUUGUUUAAGCCAGUGCUGGAAUGGUGCUCACAGGGUAACAAUUGUAAGUAUUUUGAAUAUCACCUCUUAAUGGAAAUUGAGAUCAGCAGACAUUUCACAGUUUCUGGUGUCUAGCCGCACCCCUGCCUCCUGCCAGCUCUGGCUGCCACCCUUUACCCGAGCCACCACCUGGCAUCACACCUGCGCAUCGGCCCUGCGCAUCACACCUGCACCCUGACUCAGGGCCCAGCUGCUGUAACUUCCUCUCCAUGGCCUUCUGCUGCCCUGUCUCCCAGUGACGGUCUUCACACCGUCCAGAGACCACAGUGCUCUAGAGUUAGCUGGGAAGCCUGGGAGCAGGCCUGGGUGCUGGGCAGGGGUGGCGUGGUCCCGCUGAUGCCAUCUUCACCACUGCUCAGCUGAGUGAUGAACAGAAGCAGCGCUUGAGCUGGACUCUGACCGAGAACUACAGGUAGGCUGGAGCCACACAGAUCCCCGCCUCCGUAGACCAGCUGUAGCAGGAGGUACACUGUGCCCUAUGCCCUUGAAGGCCAAAAAGACACAGGUUCAAAUCCUGACUCUCGUCUUUCCUGUCUGUGUGACCCUGGGCAAGUUACUUACCCUCUCUGAGCUUCAGUUGUCACAUCCCUAAAAUGAAGUGUCUUUGGGGUGUGUGAGCAUUAAAUUUGGUCACAUCUGUAAAGUCUCCACCACCGUGAGAAGUGUCUGCUGAAGCCUGAUUCCUUUCCCUCCUUCUCCCUGACUCCCUCCUCCAAGCCCACCCCUGCUGCCUUCCCGUUCUGGGUCCUGGUGGGCAGGAAGCUGGCAGUGCCAGGAGAACUCCAUCUUCUGCCAGGAUCUGGGCCAGGCGGCCUCUCUCAGGGCUUCUAUCUGGGACUGCCUUCCUUCUUCCCUAGGGAGCAGGGAGCUGAGUUCCCAUAAGAGGGAGCGGUACCGGGCAGGGGUAUUUCAGUGAAGCCACCAAGAGAACGCCCCAGUUGUGAGCCAGCAGGCAGAGCGCUGAGGGACAGAAAGGUGGUCUCCUUUCCAAGAAGAGACGCGGCAGAUCUCUCCAGCGAGGCCCACCAUCCUGCCAGACAUAGGGGGCGGGCAGAGGACCUCAGAGCUGUGCUGUCCAAUACGGCAGCCACCACCCACAUGUGGCUAUUUACAGUUAAAUUAAACAAAAUCCAGUUCCUUGCUCACACCAACCACAUUCCAGGCACUCAGGAGCCCCAGAUGGUGAGUGAACGCCGAGCGGGGCAGCACAGAUGCAGGACGCUGC
Long non-coding RNA from Sapajus apella (tufted capuchin), 2037 nucleotides. RefSeq lists it as uncharacterized. Lineage: Eukaryota; Metazoa; Chordata; Mammalia; Primates; Cebidae. The transcript is spliced from 3 exons. The record is from RefSeq and is a predicted model, not a curated record.